RNAcentral lists this ribosomal RNA (497 nucleotides) under uncultured bacterium. Its description in RNAcentral is "partial 16S ribosomal RNA". It matches the Rfam family "Bacterial small subunit ribosomal RNA", at positions 28 to 507 of the family's 1533-position model. The record is from RNAcentral.
GAUGAACGCUGGCGGCGUGCCUAAUACAUGCAAGUCGAGCGAACAGACGAGGAGCUUGCUCCUCUGACGUUAGCGGCGGACGGGUGAGUAACACGUGGAUAACCUACCUAUAAGACUGGGAUAACUUCGGGAAACCGGAGCUAAUACCGGAUCAUAUAUUGAACGGCAGGGUUCAAUAGUGAAAGACGGUUUUGCUGUCACUUAUAGAUGGAUCCGCGCUGCAUUAGCUAGUUGGUAAGGUGACGGCUUACCAAGGCAACGAUGCGUAGCCGAGCUGAGAGGGUGAUCGGCCACACUGGAACUGAGACACGGUCCAGACUCCUACGGGAGGCAGCAGUAGGGAAUCUUCCGCAAUGGGCGAAAGCUUGACGGAGCAACGCCGCGUGAGUGAUGAAGGUCUUCGGAUCGUAAAACUCUGUUAUUAGGGAAGAACAAAUGUGUAAGUAACUAUGCACGUCUUGACGGUACCUAAACAGAAAGCACCGGCUAACUACGUG